GAUGAACGCUAGCUACAGGCUUAACACAUGCAAGUCGAGGGGAAACGAUAUUGGAAGCUUGCUUCCGAUAGGCGUCGACCGGCGCGCGGGUGAGUAACGCGUAUCCAACCUGCCCAUCACUUGGGGAUAACCUUGCGAAAGUAAGACUAAUACCCAAUGAUAUCCGUCGAAGACAUCUGAAGUGGAUUAAAGAUUCAUCGGUGAUGGAUGGGGAUGCGUCUGAUUAGCUUGUUGGCGGGGUAGCGGCCCACCAAGGCGACGAUCAGUAGGGGUUCUGAGAGGAAGGUCCCCCACAUUGGAACUGAGACACGGUCCAAACUCCUACGGGAGGCAGCAGUGAGGAAUAUUGGUCAAUGGGCGAGAGUCUGAACCAGCCAAGUAGCGUGCAGGAUGACGGCCCUAUGGGUUGUAAACUGCUUUUAUAAGGGAAUAAAGUGAGUCUCGUGAGACUUUUUGCAUGUACCUUAUGAAUAAGGACCGGCUAAUUCCGUGCCAGCCGCCGCCGUAA
This 508-nucleotide ribosomal RNA is filed under the name uncultured bacterium. RNAcentral's name for it is "partial 16S ribosomal RNA". It matches the Rfam family "Bacterial small subunit ribosomal RNA", at positions 28 to 523 of the family's 1533-position model. The record is from RNAcentral.